CGCCUUCUCCUUUCCUGGGCAGCCGACCCCUGCCAGCCCAACCCUUGCUUGCAUGGUGGAACCUGCGUGCGGGACAACAGCUCCGAGGCCUUCCACUGCGAAUGCCAGGAGAAAUACCAGGGGAAACGCUGCGAGGACGAGCCAGGAGAGGAUUGGCGGACCCCCCUCUACAUCACGCUGGGCGUGGCGGCCGGCGCCGUCCUGCUGGCCGUGGUGGUCUCCGUGCUGGCCUGCUCGUGCACGCGCAGGAAUCGAAGCGCCUCGCGCCGGUCGCGGAACUCGGCGGCUCCCCGCAACCUCGGCCACCUCUCCAACCCCGCCUUUGAGCGCGACUAGAAGCCCCGGAGCCCGCCGCUCCCUCCGGCCGUUCCCAAUAAAGCG
RNAcentral lists this long non-coding RNA (381 nucleotides) under Notechis scutatus (mainland tiger snake). Its description in RNAcentral is "lncRNA (ENSNSUG00000018606.1)". Lineage: Eukaryota; Metazoa; Chordata; Lepidosauria; Squamata; Elapidae. The record is from RNAcentral.